GUGAAUCAUCAAAUUUUUGAACGCAAAUUGCACUCCCUGGUAUUCCGAGGAGUAUGCCUGUUUGAGGGUCGCUAGAAUAAAAAAUCGAUGCGUCGCGCUUUUUGUUAUGGGUGGUCGCGUCGGAAUUGAGCCGACAUUCAAGUGUUAAUUCAUGUCAAAGUGGCUUGAAAUUCAUCCGUCCGGUACGCUUGAAACGUAUUUAAGAUAAAUUUU
RNAcentral lists this unclassified non-coding RNA (213 nucleotides) under Glomeraceae sp. RNAcentral's name for it is "partial contains 5.8S ribosomal RNA and internal transcribed spacer 2". The stretch from base 1 to 71 matches the Rfam family "5.8S ribosomal RNA", at positions 84 to 154 of the family's 154-position model. Lineage: Eukaryota; Fungi; Glomeromycota; Glomeromycetes; Glomerales; Glomeraceae. The record is from RNAcentral.